UGGGGAAUAUUGGACAAUGGAGGGAACUCUGAUCCAGCAAUUCUGUGUGUGUGAAGAAGGUUUUAGGACUGUAAAACACUUUUAGUAGGGAAGAAAAAAAUGACGGUACCUACAGAAGAAGCAACGGCUAAAUACGUGCCAGCAGCCGCGGUAAUACGUAUGUUGCGAGCGUUAUCCGGAAUUAUUGGGCUUAAAGGGCAUCUAGGCGGUAAGACAAGUUGAAGGUGAAAACCUGUGGCUCAACCAUAGGCUUGCCUACAAAACUGUUGAACUAGAGUACUGGAAAGGUGGGUGGAACUACAUGAGUAGAGGUGAAAUUCGUAGAUAUGUGUAGGAAUGCCGAUGAUGAAGAUAACUCACUGGACAGAAACUGACGCUGAAGUGCGAAAGCUAGGGGAGCAAACAGG
Molecule: ribosomal RNA, 407 nt
Filed under: Verrucomicrobiota bacterium
Lineage: Bacteria; Pseudomonadati; Verrucomicrobiota
Description: Verrucomicrobia bacterium partial 16S ribosomal RNA
Rfam family: Bacterial small subunit ribosomal RNA
Source: RNAcentral